RNAcentral lists this transfer RNA (71 nucleotides) under Melinna cristata. RNAcentral describes it as "tRNA-Ser". Lineage: Eukaryota; Metazoa; Annelida; Polychaeta; Terebellida; Melinnidae. The record is from RNAcentral.
GGAGUACUCUGGUAGACCGCUAGGUAUUCUAAACCUGUACGCAUGAGGGGUUCAAUUCCCUUCCAACUCCA